CCUACGGGAGGCAGCAGUGAGGAAUAUUGGUCAAUGGACGAGAGUCUGAACCAGCCAAGUAGCGUGAAGGAUGACUGCCCUAUGGGUUGUAAACUUCUUUUAUAUGGGAAUAAAAUGUUCCACGUGUGGGCUUUUGUAUGUACCAUAUGAAUAAGGAUCGGCUAACUCCGUGCCAGCAGCCGCGGUAAUACGGAGGAUCCGAGCGUUAUCCGGAUUUAUUGGGUUUAAAGGGAGCGUAGGUGGAUUGUUAAGUCAGUUGUGAAAGUUUGCGGCUCAACCGUAAAAUUGCAGUUGAAACUGGCAGUCUUGAGUACAGGAGAGGUGGGCGGAAUGCGUGGUGUAGCGGUGAAAUGCUUAGAUAUCACGAAGAACUCCGAUUGCGAAGGCAGCUCACUGGACUGCAACUGACACUGAGGCUCGAAAGUGUGGGUAUCAAACAGGAUUAGAUACCCCAGUAGUC
This 460-nucleotide ribosomal RNA is filed under the name uncultured bacterium. Its description in RNAcentral is "partial 16S ribosomal RNA". It matches the Rfam family "Bacterial small subunit ribosomal RNA", at positions 338 to 795 of the family's 1533-position model. The record is from RNAcentral.